AUUUUUCAUAAAUCUAAGUAAUCUUUUACAAAAAUCUUCUCCUCUGAAACUACUGGGCCAAAUUGAACCAAACUUGGCCACAAUCAUCAUUCGGGUAUCUAGUUUAAAAAAUGUGUGGCGUGACCUGGUCAACCAACCAAGAUGGCCGCCACGGCUAAAAAUGGAACAUAGGGGUAAAAUGCAGUUUUUGGCUUAUAACUCAAAAACCAAAGCAUUUAGAGGAAAUCUGACGGAGUAAAAAUGUAUGUAUCAGGUCAAGAUCUAUCUGCCCUGAAAUUUUCAGAUGAAUCGGUCAACCCGUUGUUGGGUUGCUGCCCCUGAAUUGGUAAUUUUGAGGAAAUUUUGCUGUUUUUGGUUAUUAUCUUGAAUAUUAUUAUAGAUAGAGAUAAACUGUAAACAGCAAUAAUGUUCAGCAAAGUUAGAUUUACAAAUAAGUCAACAUGACCGAAAUGGUCAGUUGACCCCUUUAGGAGUUAUUGCCCUUUAUAGUCAAUUUUUAACCAUUUUUCAUAAAUCUAAGUAAUCUUUUACAAAAAUCUUCUCCUCUGAAACUACUGGGCCAAAUUGAACCAAACUUGGCCACAAUCAUCACUGGGUUAUUUAGUUUAAAAAAUGUGUGGCGUGACCCGGUCAACGAACCAAGAUGGCCGCCACGGCUAAAAAUAGAACAUAGGGGUAAAAUGCAGUUUUUGGCUUAUAACUCUGAAACCAAAACAUUUAGAGGAAAUAUGACAAGAAGUUAAAUUGUUAAUCAAGUCAAUAUAUAUCUGCCCUGAAAUACUCAAAUGAAUUGGACAACCGGUUGUUGGGUUGCUGCCCUCCAAUUGGUAAUUUUUAAAGAAAUUUUGCCGUUUUUGGUUAUUAUCUUGAAUACUAUUAUAGAUAGCGAUAAACUGUAAACAGCGAUAAUGUUCAGCAAAGUAAGAUCUACAAAUAAGUCAACAUGACCUAAAUGGUCAAUUGACCCCUUAAGGAGUUAUUGCCCUUUAUAGUCAAUUUUUAACAAUUUUCAUUAAUUUGGUAAAUUUAUGUAAAUUUUUACCAAAUAUUUUUCUCUGUUACUAAUGGGCAAAGUUCAUUAUAGAUAUAAUUGUAAGAAGCAAGAACGUUCAGUAAAGUAAGAACUUCAAACACAUCACCAUCACCAAAAUACAAUUUUGUCAUGAAUCCAUUUGUGUCCUUUGUUUAAUAUGCACAUAGACCAAGGUGAGCGACACAGGCUCUUUAGAGCCUCUAGUUUAUAUACCUGAUUGUAA
Molecule: long non-coding RNA, 1256 nt
Filed under: Mytilus galloprovincialis (Mediterranean mussel)
Lineage: Eukaryota; Metazoa; Mollusca; Bivalvia; Mytilida; Mytilidae
Source: RNAcentral